AUGGGCACGGCCAAGGGGCUGAGCUACCUCCACGAGGAGCACGAGCCCAACAUCGUGCACAGGGACAUCAAGGCAAGCAACGUCCUCCUCGGCAGAAACCACAGCCCCAAAAUCGGGGACUUCGGCUUGGCGAAGCUGUUCCCGGACAACGUCACCCAUGUCACCACGCGCGUGGUCGGGACGACUGGAGACCUGGCGCCUGAAUACGUGGUGCACGGGCAGCUGACCAAGAAGGCCGAUGUCUACAGCUUCGGCGUCCUCCUCCUCGAGGUCAUCAGCGGCCGGAGGGUCUCGGAGACGAUUCGAUCGGAUACAUUCCUCGCAUGGCUGCUCUACGAGCAGGGAAGGCCGCUGGACAUCGUGGACGCGAGUGUCAAGGACUACCCGGAGGCAGAGGUGCUCAGAUACGUCAAGGUAGGCCUGGCGUGCACGCAGGCGGCGCCCGACGGGAGGCCCGCGAUGCGGCAGGUGGUGAAGAUGCUGUCGCGGCCCGCCGCGUUCCGCGAGCUGGAGAUGCACUUGGCCGACCAUGAUUCCUCCGCUGCCCUCACACGUCCUGGCUUGAGCUUGUCGCCUCUUUCCUCCAUGGCAACAAGUAGUACGAAUUCCGCCUCGGCCACUUACAGUGAAACCGUACCCAGGUAG
Molecule: ribosomal RNA, 645 nt
Filed under: Triticum aestivum (bread wheat)
Lineage: Eukaryota; Viridiplantae; Streptophyta; Magnoliopsida; Poales; Poaceae
Description: partial small subunit ribosomal RNA
Source: RNAcentral